Molecule: transfer RNA, 57 nt
Filed under: Diaphorina citri (Asian citrus psyllid)
Lineage: Eukaryota; Metazoa; Arthropoda; Insecta; Hemiptera; Psyllidae
Source: Rfam by way of RNAcentral
UGGCGUAGUGGUCACUGCGCUCGCCUUGCACGCGGGAGACCCGGGUUCGAUUUCCGG